CCAAUAGCGUAUAUUAAAGUUGCUGCAGUUAAAAAGCUCGUAGUUGAAUUUCGGGAUCAAUAUGUUGGUCGUGCCUCGGUACGUACUAGCUUAUUGGUUUCUCCCUUCUGACGAACCAUGAUGUCAUUUAUUUGGUGUUAUGAGGAAUCAGGACUGUUACUUUGAAAAAAUUAGAGUGUUUAAAGCAGGCUCACGCUUGA
This 200-nucleotide ribosomal RNA is filed under the name uncultured Glomus. RNAcentral describes it as "partial small subunit ribosomal RNA". It matches the Rfam family "Eukaryotic small subunit ribosomal RNA", at positions 591 to 798 of the family's 1831-position model. Lineage: Eukaryota; Fungi; Glomeromycota; Glomeromycetes; Glomerales; Glomeraceae. The record is from RNAcentral.